CGGAGUUCAAAUUGAACAUUUCCUAUGACAAAAUCCAAACUCCAUGAACAGCUAUUAACUUUUAGUAGUGCAAAAUCUGAAAAAAUUCAAGAACUUUCACGCCCCAAACCUAGGGAGGUGUGACUAGCACCUGAUGCCGCAGUGGCCCGAGCGAACCACUCUGCAAUAUUUUUUUGUCUUUGUAACUAUCAUGGGCCAACAUGGCCACAACUCGUAAUGUACAACGGUAGGUGGGCAAAUACUGUAUCACUGAACCAUUUUUCGUAAAACAUGGAUACAUAUGGGUCGUCAAGGCCUCUGACAUACUGUACAAAAUGAACCUCUGUCUACAAGCCUCUAAGAUUAUGCGACAUCAAAUAGGACAAGGUACCGGCCUACCCAUAAGUCUGUAGCAAAACUCUGACACGAUGACUCAUAGACUCGGCUGCACUUCGAUCGAGGUGGAGUCUUACCGAUCCUUCACUAAAUGCCAAUCUCGUCUACUAUGAGGGCUCGUCAAACUGAUUAUCUAUACCUGCAGGCAUGAAUGCAGUGUCCCCAAUAAAAGGACGUCAGUACGAAUAAUGUACUGAGUAUGUAAGGCAAAACUGAAACAUAACCAUAAUUCAACAUUAAUUAAAGACAUAUAGGAAUCAACCUGAAUCUCUGAAGUGCCACUACAUAUGCAUACUUAUUCUACUUACAUAUAUAUAUUGCUUUUCUUUAAUACUCUUAUCCAUAUCGUAUGAUGGAUGACUACCUAACUGAUCAGUGAUAACUGCCCGACCGGCCGUAGCGCGGUGGUAAAUGCAUGACUGCCCGACUGACCGUAGCUCGGUGGUAAAUAUAUAACUGCCCAACCGGCCGUAGCUCGGUGGUAAAUGAAUAUGCAUGACUGCCCAACCGGCGGCAAAUAAUGAUACAUAACUGCCCAACCGGUGGUAACUGCCGAUCAGCCGUAGUCCGGUGGUAAAUGCAUGAAGAUGCAUGUAUUACUAUAUUAUAAACAUUAACGUCUUUAUCAAAUACUACUAGAUACAUACUUAGACAUGCUUGAAUAUCACUUUACGGGAAUGAAUAACAUAGACAUCCUUAAUUGAUAAGAGUGGAACAACUUAUGGAAUAUCAUUAUGUUUACGUAUCGUUACUUGUAUCAUGCCAAAAGAAAGAAGGAUUAGCCUUAACAUACCUGGAGUAGAGAAAAUACGUAUGAUAUUUUUGGGAAGGAUUGCACUGUACUUCCUUAAAAUACUUAAACAUCAAUCCUUUCAAAGAACUCCGAUAUAGCAGCCUCUUUAGCCUUCACAACGGAGAAAAUGGGGAAAUUCAUUCUUCAGAGUAGUGUGACCGUAUAUAUACUACUUUUCAAACCAAAAUCAUAUUCGUUUCUCAUUCAUAUAGAGAACCCAUAAUUAUUUUCCAUGAUAUCCUUUGAAAACCCAAUGAAUAUGUACAAACCCAUCAUUCUCUUUCAUAAACCCAAUGAAAUCCAUCGAAGGCCAAUGCAUCGAAUGAUAAAAAAACCAUCUGUCUAGUAAUAGGAAGAAUUUUCCCAUUCUUCGUUGUCCCUCCCUCAAUCAGCUUCUGCUUUCUAAGUAACAAUGCAUCUCUUAAAAUGUGGCUCUUCC
Molecule: long non-coding RNA, 1607 nt
Filed under: Nicotiana tabacum (common tobacco)
Lineage: Eukaryota; Viridiplantae; Streptophyta; Magnoliopsida; Solanales; Solanaceae
Description: long non-coding RNA (NTAB_LNC013278)
Source: RNAcentral